RNAcentral lists this ribosomal RNA (262 nucleotides) under uncultured bacterium. Its description in RNAcentral is "partial 16S ribosomal RNA". It matches the Rfam family "Bacterial small subunit ribosomal RNA", at positions 524 to 776 of the family's 1533-position model. The record is from RNAcentral.
UACGUAGGGACCGAGCGUUGUCCGGAAUCAUUGGGCGUAAAGAGCGUGUAGGCGGCUGACUAAGUCCUGCGUGAAAUUUCGGGGGCUCAACCCCCGAACGGUCGUGGGAAACUGGUCGGCUAGAGUGCGGGGAGAGGAGAGUGGAAUUCCUGGUGUAGCGGUGAAAUGCGCAGAUAUCAGGAGGAACACCAGUGGCGAAAGGCGGCUCACUGGCCCCGAUACUGACGCUGAGGCACGAAAAGCGUGGGGGGAGCAAAACAGG